GGGGGGGCCCAACACAUUGCCAAGUCGAAACGCCGUAGCAAUACGGAGUGGCAGACGGGUGAGUAACGCGUGGUAACCAUCCCAAUGGUACGGAAUAACUCGCCGAAAGGCGUGCUUAUACCGAAUAAGCCCGCAAGGGGAAAGAUUUAUCGCCAUUGGAUGGGCCCGCGUCGGAUUAGCUAGUUGGUGAGGUAAUGGCUCACCAAGGCGACGAUCCGUAGCUGGUCUGAGAGGAUGAUCAGCCACACUGGGACUGAGACACGGCCCAGACUCCUACGGGAGGCAGCAGUGGGGAAUAUUGGACAAUGGGCGAAAGCCUGAUCCAGCCAUGCCGCGUGAGUGACGAAGGCCUUAGGGUUGUAAAGCUCUUUUGGCGGGGACGAUAAUGACGGUACCCGCAGAAUAAGCCCCGGCUAACUUCGUGCCAGCAGCCGCGGUAAUAAUCUUU
This 448-nucleotide ribosomal RNA is filed under the name uncultured Filomicrobium sp. RNAcentral describes it as "bacterial SSU rRNA". It matches the Rfam family "Bacterial small subunit ribosomal RNA", at positions 40 to 529 of the family's 1533-position model. The record is from RNAcentral. Lineage: Bacteria; Pseudomonadati; Pseudomonadota; Alphaproteobacteria; Hyphomicrobiales; Hyphomicrobiaceae.